This 270-nucleotide long non-coding RNA is filed under the name Elaeis guineensis (African oil palm). RNAcentral describes it as "long non-coding RNA (EGUI_LNC023834)". The record is from RNAcentral. Lineage: Eukaryota; Viridiplantae; Streptophyta; Magnoliopsida; Arecales; Arecaceae.
UUGAUGGGUCGGUUGUGAUUGCAUGCCGGCUUCUUAGUGAUUGUCUUACGUCAGAUACAUGCAUCCCUUUUCUGAGUGUUGAGUCCAAGCAUUGAGCACGGAGUCUUACCAACUUCUCAAUAAAGUGGAGAGUUUGGUGAUAAUUCACUCAUUCUACCAAGACUACCAUGGUGGUGGUGUUCUUCUUGUUCUUAUCUCCACGUUUUGCUAGAGCCGUCUCAGAGGAUACUAUGAAGGCUGGGAACCUAGGGCCUUAGGUCAUGUCUGAGU